AGGAGCUUGCUCUUCUUGGAUGAGUUGCGAACGGGUGAGUAACGCGUAGGUAACCUGCCUUGUAGCGGGGGAUAACUAUUGGAAACGAUAGCUAAUACCGCAUAACAAUGGAUGACACAUGUCAUUUAUUUGAAAGGGGCAAUUGCUCCACUACAAGAUGGACCUGCGUUGUAUUAGCUAGUAGGUGAGGUAAUGGCUCACCUAGGCGACGAUACAUAGCCGACCUGAGAGGGUGAUCGGCCACACUGGGACUGAGACACGGCCCAGACUCCUACGGGAGGCAGCAGUAGGGAAUCUUCGGCAAUGGGGGCAACCCUGACCGAGCAACGCCGCGUGAGUGAAGAAGGUUUUCGGAUCGUAAAGCUCUGUUGUAAGUCAAGAACGGGUGUGAGAGUGGAAAGUUCACACUGUGACGGUAGCUUACCAGAAAGGGACGGCUAACUACGUGCCAGCAGCCGCGGUAAUACGUAGGUCCCGAGCGUUGUCCGGAUUUAUUGGGCGUAAAGCGAGCGCAGGCGGUUUGAUAAGUCUGAAGUUAAAGGCUGUGGCUCAACCAUAGUUCGCUUUGGAAACUGUCAAACUUGAGUGCAGAAGGGGAGAGUGGAAUUCCAUGUGUAGCGGUGAAAUGCGUAGAUAUAUGGAGGAACACCGGUGGCGAAAGCGGCUCUCUGGUCUGUAACUGACGCUGAGGCUCGAAAGCGUGGGGAGCGAACAGGAUUAGAUACCCUGGUAGUCCACGCCGUAAACGAUGAGUGCUAGGUGUUGGAUCCUUUCCGGGAUUCAGUGCCGCAGCUAACGCAUUAAGCACUCCGCCUGGGGAGUACGACCGCAAGGUUGAAACUCAAAGGAAUUGACGGGGGCCCGCACAAGCGGUGGAGCAUGUGGUUUAAUUCGAAGCAACGCGAAGAACCUUACCAGGUCUUGACAUCCCGAUGCUAUUUCUAGAGAUAGAAAGUUACUUCGGUACAUCGGUGACAG
RNAcentral lists this ribosomal RNA (978 nucleotides) under Streptococcus thermophilus. Its description in RNAcentral is "bacterial SSU rRNA". It matches the Rfam family "Bacterial small subunit ribosomal RNA", at positions 74 to 1037 of the family's 1533-position model. Lineage: Bacteria; Bacillati; Bacillota; Bacilli; Lactobacillales; Streptococcaceae. The record is from RNAcentral.